GGCUCCGUAGCUCAGCUGGAUAGAGCGCAAGCUUGCGGAGCUUGAGGUCGCAGGUUCAACUCCUGCCGGAGUCACCA
RNAcentral lists this transfer RNA (77 nucleotides) under Candidatus Doudnaibacteriota bacterium. Its description in RNAcentral is "Candidatus Doudnabacteria bacterium tRNA-Arg". It matches the Rfam family "tRNA". From Rfam's summary of the family: Transfer RNA (tRNA) molecules are approximately 80 nucleotides in length. Their secondary structure includes four short double-helical elements and three loops (D, anti-codon, and T loops). Lineage: Bacteria; Candidatus Doudnaibacteriota. The record is from RNAcentral.